This is a long non-coding RNA of Pollicipes pollicipes, 281 nucleotides long. RefSeq lists it as uncharacterized. The transcript has 3 exons. NCBI's taxonomy places the organism in Eukaryota, Metazoa, Arthropoda, Thecostraca, Pollicipedomorpha, Pollicipedidae. The record is from RefSeq and is a predicted model, not a curated record.
CAACAUAUUGGCUCAAAGCCCUCAAGGAAUACACGUGAGCUGACGACGGGUCGCAGCACGAAGCGCCCGUUUCGCUGGCCGAUCGCAAGGGGCCGUCACCGUCGGUGGGCGCAGUCGCAGUCAAGCCCAUGAAGCAGGUCAUCGCCAUCCCUCAUCACCAAAACGCAGCUGCAAACAUGUUGUACAAACAAGGGCGCGAUGCGUAAAGACACAAAUGGACAAGUGGUGACGAUAUACACAGGGAGCUAGUCAGCUCGGGCAAGUUAUGACCAACAUGGAGA